Molecule: unclassified non-coding RNA, 257 nt
Filed under: rhizosphere metagenome
Description: partial ribosomal RNA internal transcribed spacer region
Source: RNAcentral
GUAGGUGAACCUGCGGAGGGAUCAUUCACAUGAUUACUUUUAUAUAUAAACAAACUGUGAACUUUAUAUACUAUUCGUGUUAUUUUGAAUUUUUUUUCUCAAAAUUAACAUUGUCAUUCGAUUGAACAUAAGAUAGUUGGCUUGAUUUAUUUGUUUUACAAAUAUCUCUUUCUCAGCUUUGAUUUGAUAGAACUAAACAUUUUAUCAAUCAACCAUAAACAUAGAAACAACUCUAUGCCCUGGAUAUCUUGGUUCUC